GAGGGAAUUGUUACGAAGUAGAGGACUCGACAGUCUUUUCCAACACCCAAUCACGUCUAUAAAUAGAAACCGAAAGAGGUCUUCCAUUCUCACAUAGAAGCUGAAGCAAAUAUGGGUUCCAAAGUGUUGGUGCUACUUGGUCUGUCCAUUGCUUUUACUCUUCUCAUCAGUUCAGAAGUCGCAGCUCGGGAUUUAGCUGAAACUACUCGAAAGACAACUGAUGCGGCGGUUGGUUACGGUGAGGUUUCUGGGCCUCAAACCCGCCGCCCUUACAACGGAAGAGGCCCCUACUACGGAGGAGGUGGAGGCAGCGGGGGAGGAGGCCCUUACAACAGAGGAGGCGGCAGGGGACGUGGAUGCUAUUACUCCUGCUAUGGAAGGUGUUGUUCUGCAGCUGAAGCUAAAGCACUCCAGGCAAUUACUACUAACCAAGUUAAGCCUCACAAUUAAGUGGAGGACUUCAUGCGUGCGUACUUGUAAUAUUAUUAUUAAUAUUUAUUAUAGCGGGAGCGCUAUUUAGUACUCCCUCCGUCCCUCCAGGUAGUUUAUGUUCACUGUUUGAAUGUAUUUUAAGGCUCCUAUAAAGUAUAGUUCCGUAAUGUUUUUAAAAAAAUUUCUUUUUUUGAAUAAGAGUUCAAACAUCAAACUUUUAUUCAGAAAUAAAAUAUUUUAAAAAUAUGUUAGAGAACUAUACUAUAAAUGAGUCUUAAAAAGCGUGUCAAAAAGUAACGUAAAGAAAUAAAGGGAACAGAGGGAGUAGUACCUAUAAAUAAAAUGUGUGUCCAAUCAAACGAUGGAUCCUGCUGUAAUUAUGCAUUUUAAGGUUUGAAUUUCCUUGUACUAUGAUCACUACUUAGUAUCAAAAGUUACUACA
This is an RNA transcript of Daucus carota subsp. sativus, 874 nucleotides long. RefSeq lists it as uncharacterized. The transcript has 2 exons. NCBI's taxonomy places the organism in Eukaryota, Viridiplantae, Streptophyta, Magnoliopsida, Apiales, Apiaceae. The record is from RefSeq and is a predicted model, not a curated record.